Molecule: long non-coding RNA, 396 nt
Organism: Dendronephthya gigantea
Lineage: Eukaryota; Metazoa; Cnidaria; Anthozoa; Malacalcyonacea; Nephtheidae
Exons: 4
Source: RefSeq, a predicted model, not a curated record
CUAUAUAUAUUUGGGUGAAAACAGUCUAAAAUCAUUCGUUUAUUGAAGUUUCUCAGUGGAGUAUCGAAAUUUUUACCGUAAGGAAACUACAGAUUGAGCAAAAAUGAAUUUUCGUCUGGGAUUUUGUCUGAUGCUGGUUCUCUUUGUGACUGCUUUCAGUGAUGUUGAGUGUAGAAAACAAGGUGCUAACCGUAUGAACCAGGAAUUACCACAUUGCCCCGUACAAUGUGUUCCUGAUCAUCUCCCCUGUCCAGAGGUACCAGGCUAUUCAUGUGAGGAAAAUACUAAGUGCUGCUAAUAUAACUGGCUAGUCGCAACUGAAGCAGACGACAGUUAGUAGACUCAAAGCAUAAAAAAGGGAAAAUAAAAGUAGAAUGAAAAAUGGUUAAAUAAAAU